GCAAGAGAGAAGCACAGAUGAAGCACAUGCUUUGCUCCUGCACCGCUCCCACGCCUCCGCACUCCAGAACUGAUCCUUGGCAGCCCGUUUCAGGCAUUCCCUGGGGUCCUGGGAUGUGUUGCCAGAUAAGGGGGCACUACACGAAGUGUGUGGAGCCCCUGCCAAGAGGAGCGUCCACAGCUGACAUCCACAGCUCGGCCCCGCCCCAGCCUCUGCUGCCUCUCCCCAGCACUGCCCACGGCAGAGUUAUGAGGGAAACUCAGUACAGGUUCAUAAUUAGGCUGUAAAAAUCCACUCCAGGCUGAAAUUGGCCAUAUAAGUGCUCAGUGACUGAAAAACAAUUUUGUUUUGUUUCCCUCAACUGCAAAAGAAAGUGGUUUGAAAAUUAAGUUAAAAGCGACAACAAUCCAAAUUGUUUGCAUUGGAAAGGCCAACCUGGGAGGCAGCAAGGCUCCCGAAGGCGCGAACCCUGGACCUACCAUCGUCUUUGGUGCGCUCCAGGAUGAGGGGCGUGCUGGGGACCCCGUUCCCGAUGCGGGUGAACGCCAGCACCUGGAGCUCGUAGAGCACGAACUUGCGCAGGCCUGCCAGCAGGGCCGACUGCGUGUGGUUCCCUCGCACGAUGUGGCUCCUGGGCUCGGGAUCCAGGUCUUUGGCCCGGAACAGGAUCUGUGGUAUCGACACAGCACGAGGGUUAUCAGGAGGCGGGUGCCAGGAGGGACCGCCGUGGCAUGGGGCAGGCCCCCUUCGUGAAUCAAGGCCCAGCCAACUGUGCUUUCUCCCUGAGGAUGGCUGUGUGCAGGGCUUCUGGAUCUAAUUUGUCCAUGCUGGCAUUUGGGGAGGAAGGUGGUUGUAAAGUGACUGCGCUCCAGGGGAGCUUGAGUUAGUGCCCACGGCUUGGCGAGCCUGCUGCCUGGUCAUAAUCUGCAAGAUCUGAGGGCCCAACUGCAGCCAUGCCAACCACAGCCACUAAAACAAAGACUCGAUUAUGAACACAGACAACACUCUGCUUCCUGCCACAGGAGCCAGCAGCCCCCUGGGUUUUCCAGCCAUGGAAGCUGGUUUCCUGCCCCAGAAGACCUGCUGUCCUCACACAGACCGGGAGCUCUGGCCUCCUUGGGCCAUCUGCAGCUGUGCAUGCUGUAGGUACCCCACCCCAAGCUGCUGUCCUCCAGGGCACCCCACCCCAAGCUGCUCUAUUCCAGGGCACCCAACCCCAAGCUGCUGUCCUCCAGGGCACCCCACCCCAAGCUGCUCUAUUCCAGGGGACCCCACCCCGAGCUGCUCUAUUCCAGGGCACCCAACCCCAAGUUGCUCUCCUCCAGGGCACCCCACCCCAAGCUGCUCUAUUCCAGGGGACCCCACCCCGAGCUGCUCUAUUCCAGGGCACCCUACCCCAAGGUGCUCUCCUCCAGGGCACCCAACCCUAAGCUGCUCUCCUCCAGGGGACCCCACCCCAAGCUGCUCUCUUCCAGGGCACCCCACCCCAAGCUGCUCUAUUCCAGGGGACUCCACCCCAAGCUGCUCUAGUCCAGGGGAUCCCACCCCAAGCUGCUGUCCUCUGUGCUCUCCUCCAGGGCACCCCACCCCAAGCUGCUCUCCUCCAGGGGACCCCACCCCAAGCUGCUCUCCUCCAGGGGACCCCACCCCAAGCUGCUCUCCUCCAGGGGACCCCACCCCAAGCUGCUCUCCUCCAGGGCACCCCACCCCAAGCUGCUCUAUUCCAGGGGACCCCACUCCAAGCUGCUCUAUUCCAGGGCACCCUACCCCAAGGUGCUCUCCUCCAGGGCACCCAACCCUAAGCUGCUCUCCUCCAGGGGACCCCACCCCAAGCUGCUCUAUUCCAGGGCACCCUACCCCAAGCUGCUCUAUUCCAGGGCACCCCACCCCAAGCUGCUCUAUUCCAGGGCACCCCACCCCAAGCUGCUCUAUUCCAGGGCACCCAACCCCAAGCUGCUCUCCUCCAGGGGACCCCACCCCAAGCUGCUCUCCUCUAUGCUCUCCUCCAGGGCACCCCACCCCAAGCUGCUCUGCUCCAGGGCCUCCUGCUAAGACCUCACUCAAUGCCCACCUUCUCUGAACUGCUCCCUGAGAUCGGGGACCUGGAAGGCCAUAAAGGAUAGCAUCAGCAGGGAGGUGUUUGAAAAUAGCACAGCAAGCGCGUUUCUCGGGGCCCCAGGAAUGUGGUGUGAAGUUUUGGUCACUGAAUCCCCUCAACGGGACUGCCAUGUGUCACAGAGCCAGCAGGGCGCACUUAGAACACCCGGGGAAGGGAGAAGACAUGGGAGAGCAGGCGGGGAAAACAAAGAAUAGGGAUGUGAAGUACGGAAAGGUGGAGGAGGCACGCUCAAAACCCAGGGAGCAGCACUGAGACAAGCGUGGCCUCGCUGGCCGGGUCCGAAACAGCUCAUUCUGAUGCUUGGCAUUGCUGAGCCAAGGAGCAGAUGGGGAGACAGAGCCUGUCGCCCCGAGUGAUGGAACGAGGAACAGAAGGGGGUUUUAAAGGGGUGGGGUGGAUGCAUGGAAGAUGGAACCCAGAAAUGGCUCCCCAGAGAAGCUGGGACAGAUUCAACCCUGCCAGCGGAUGCCAUUGCUAGGACCGUGAUGACACACAUAGAAACAUGCACACAGCGAUCCACCUCACCCAGCCCUUCACAUGAGCAAGGCGUGCUGUGUAAAAGACCCCCUGAAUUCUCACACCAACCCUGGGACAAAGCUACCAUCGUUAUUCCCGUUUUACAAGCGGGGAGACACAAGCACAGGGCUUCAGUAACUGGCCCGCGGCACUGAGGCCAGCGAGGGCAGAGUCAGGCGCAGGCCCGGAGGUCAGUUCCACUCCGGCUGUGCUUUUCUUCUGGUGCCCUGUUUUGGCAUUUGUGUCAUAGUUAUACUGAUGCCUAAUUCCCAGGCUGCAAUGAGGCUUAGAUAAGACAACUGAAUAUCUUAAUAAAAAUCACAAACUGGC
This 2965-nucleotide long non-coding RNA is filed under the name Homo sapiens (human). Its description in RNAcentral is "uncharacterized LOC105375131 (LOC105375131)". The record is from RNAcentral. Lineage: Eukaryota; Metazoa; Chordata; Mammalia; Primates; Hominidae.